CGACCGGCGCACGGGUGAGUAACGCGUAUGCGACCUGCCCGUUGCAGGGGGAUAAUCGGGAGAAAUCCCGUCUAAUACCGCGUAACGCCGCGGGGCUGCAUGGCCCUGCGGCCAAAGGGAGCGAUUCCGGCAACGGAUGGGCGUGCGUGACAUUAGCUAGUUGGCGGGGCAACGGCCCACCAAGGCGACGAUGUCUAGGGGUUCUGAGAGGAAGGUCCCCCACACUGGUACUGAGACACGGACCAGACUCCUACGGGAGGCAGCAG
This 266-nucleotide ribosomal RNA is filed under the name uncultured bacterium. RNAcentral describes it as "partial 16S ribosomal RNA". It matches the Rfam family "Bacterial small subunit ribosomal RNA", at positions 92 to 354 of the family's 1533-position model. The record is from RNAcentral.